Molecule: transfer RNA, 73 nt
Filed under: Cladonia apodocarpa
Lineage: Eukaryota; Fungi; Ascomycota; Lecanoromycetes; Lecanorales; Cladoniaceae
Also listed under: 2 other names
Description: tRNA-Asn
Source: RNAcentral
GGGUUAGUAACUUAAUAGGCAAAGUCCUUUCUUGUCGAGAAAGUGGAUACCGGAUCGAAGCCGGUCUAACUCG